GGCGGCGUGCUUAACACAUGCAAGUCGAACGGUGAAGCUCCAGCUUGCUGGGGUGGAUGAGUGGCGAACGGGUGAGUAACACGUGAGUAACCUGCCCCCUUCUUCUGGAUAACUGCUUGAAAGGGUAGCUAAUACGGGAUAUUCUGGCCUGCUCGCAUGGGUGGGUUUGGAAAGGUUUUUUCUGGUGGGGGAUGGGCUCGCGGCCUAUCAGCUUGUUGGUGGGGUGAUGGCCUACCAAGGCGGUGACGGGUAGCCGGCCUGAGAGGGUGGACGGCCACACUGGGACUGAGACACGGCCCAGACUCCUACGGGAGGCAGCAGUGGGGAAUAUUGCACAAUGGGCGCAAGCCUGAUGCAGCGACGCCGCGUGAGGGAUGGAGGCCUUCGGGUUGUAAACCUCUUUCGCCAGUGAAGCAGGCCAUCUUCUUUGUGGGGUGGUUGACGGUAGCUGGAUAAGAAGCGCCGGCUAACUACGUGCCAGCAGCCGCGGUAAUACGUAGGGCGCGAGCGUUGUCCGGAAUUAUUGGGCGUAAAGAGCUCGUAGGCGGCUGGUCGCGUCUGUCGUGAAAUCCCCUGGCUUAACUGGGGGCUUGCGGUGGGUACGGGCCGGCUUGAGUGCGGUAGGGGAGACUGGAAUUCCUGGUGUAGCGGUGGAAUGCGCAGAUAUCAGGAGGAACACCGGUGGCGAAGGCGGGUCUCUGGGCCGUUACUGACGCUGAGGAGCGAAAGCGUGGGGAGCGAACAGGAUUAGAUACCC
This 757-nucleotide ribosomal RNA is filed under the name Actinomyces urogenitalis. Its description in RNAcentral is "bacterial SSU rRNA". It matches the Rfam family "Bacterial small subunit ribosomal RNA", at positions 38 to 787 of the family's 1533-position model. Lineage: Bacteria; Bacillati; Actinomycetota; Actinomycetes; Actinomycetales; Actinomycetaceae. The record is from RNAcentral.